RNAcentral lists this transfer RNA (64 nucleotides) under Scinax obtriangulatus (Sao Paulo snouted treefrog). RNAcentral describes it as "tRNA-Val". Lineage: Eukaryota; Metazoa; Chordata; Amphibia; Anura; Hylidae. The record is from RNAcentral.
CAAAGGUAGCGUAAGCACUAUAGUGAGUCGUAUUAGCGUAUCUGUGAAAACCAGGUCGUUAUGA